RNAcentral lists this ribosomal RNA (450 nucleotides) under uncultured bacterium. Its description in RNAcentral is "partial 16S ribosomal RNA". It matches the Rfam family "Bacterial small subunit ribosomal RNA", at positions 354 to 796 of the family's 1533-position model. The record is from RNAcentral.
GUGGGGAAUAUUGGACAAUGGGCGAAAGCCUGAUCCAGCCAUGCCGCGUGUGUGAAGAAGGCCUUCGGAUUGUAAAGCACUUUAAGUUGGGAGGAAGGGCAGUAAGUUAAUACCUUGCUGUUUUGACGUUACCGACAGAAUAAGCACCGGCUAACUUCGUGCCAGCAGCCGCGGUAAUACGAAGGGUGCAAGCGUUAAUCGGAAUUACUGGGCGUAAAGCGCGCGUAGGUGGUUUUGUAAGUUGGAGGUGAAAUCCCCGGGCUCAACCUGGGAACUGCCUCCAAAACUGCAUGACUAGAGUACGGUAGAGGGUAGUGGAAUUUCCUGUGUAGCGGUGAAAUGCGUAGAUAUAGGAAGGAACACCAGUGGCGAAGGCGACUACCUGGACUGAUACUGACACUGAGGUGCGAAAGCGUGGGGAGCAAACAGGAUUAGAUACCCUUGUAGUCC